AUGGCUCUGACGGUACGCGUGCAACGACUAACAGGGCUGACCGGCACCCACGACCGACAAGUGAAGCUCACCUUUCGAGGCUUUACCCAGAAAACAAGAAAAAUUCACUGUGGUCCAGAAGCAGAUAUCGGUGAGCUGUUCCGAUGGCCCCACUAUGGGGCUCCACUGGCUGGGGAGUGUCUGUCUGUGCAGGUGGUCAACUGCAGCCGUGUAUUCAGCCCUAGGCCUCUAGGGACCCUGGUGAUCUCCCUGCAGCAGCUACAGAAUGCUGGGCAUUUGGUGCUACGGGAAGCCCUAGUGGAUGAGAAUCUUCGAGUGUCCCCGAUCCAGGUGGAGCUUGACCUGAAGUACCAGCCCCCAGAGGGCGCUACUGGAGCCUGGUCAGAGGAGGACUUUGGGGCACCCAUCCAGGACAGCUUCGAGUUAAUCAUCCCCAAUGUGGGCUUCCAGGAACUGGAGCCUGGGGAGGCCCAGCUGGAGCGGCGGGCAGUGGCUCUAGGCCGCAGGCUAGCUCGAAGUCUAGGCCAGCAAGACAAUGAAGAGAAUGAGCUGGAGCUUGAGCUGGAGCAGGACCUGGAUGAUGAGCCUGACGUGGAACUUUCUGGUGUUAUGUUCAGCCCCCUCAAGAGCCGCGCCAGGGCCCUGGCCCAUGGGGAUCCCUUCCAGGUGUCCAGAGCUCAAGACUUCCAGGUGGGAGUCACUGUGCUGGAAGCCCAGAAACUGGUGGGAGUCAACAUUAACCCCUAUGUGGCCGUGCAAGUGGGGGGGCAGCGCCGUGUGACCGCUACACAGCGUGGGACCAGUUGCCCCUUCUACAAUGAGUACUUCUUGUUCGAAUUUCAUGACACACGGCUUCAUCUCCAAGACUUGCUGCUGGAGAUCACGGCUUUCCACUCGCAGACCCUCCCCUUUAUGGCCACCCGGAUAGGCACCUUCAGGAUGGACCUGGGCAUCAUCUUGGACCAGCCAGAUGGCCAAUUCUACCAAAGAUGGGCUCCGCUGCAUGAUCCCCGAGACACCCGCGCCGGGACCAAGGGUUUCGUUAAGGUCACCUUGUCCGUGAGGGCGCGCGGGGACCUGCCCCCUCCAAUGCUACCCCCGGCCCCAGGGCACUGUUCGGACAUCGAGAAGAACCUGCUCCUGCCGCGCGGGGUGCCCGCCGAGAGGCCAUGGGCGCGGCUCCGCGUGCGCCUGUACCGCGCCGAGGGGCUUCCCGCGCUGCGCCCGGGGCUGCUGGGCAGCCUGGCCCGCGCCCUGCACGACCAGCGCGUCCUGGUGGAGCCCUAUGUGCGGGUGUCUUUCCUGGGGCAGGAGGGCGAGACGUCGGUGCGCGCCGAGGCGGCGGCGCCCGAAUGGAACGAGCAGCUGAGCUUCGUGGAGCUCUUCCCGCCGCUGACGCGCAGCCUCCGCCUGCAGCUGCGGGACGACGCGCCCCUGGUCGACGCGGCACUCGCUACGCACGUGCUGGACCUGAGGCGGAUCUCCCAUCCGGGCCGCGCGGCGGGGUUUAACCCUACCUUCGGCCCGGCCUGGGUGCCCCUCUAUGGCUCGCCCCCCGGCGCGGGGCUCCGGGAUAGUCUUCAAGGUCUCAACGAAGGCGUUGGCCAAGGCAUUUGGUUCCGCGGCCGCCUUCUGCUGGCUGUGUCCAUGCAGGUGUUGGAAGGGAGAGCUGAACCUGAGCCUCCCCAGGCCCAGCAGGGGUCCACGUUGUCCCGGCUCACCCGAAAGAAGAAAAAGAAAGCCAGAAGGGAUCAGACCCCAAAGGCGGUUCCGCAGCACUUGGACGCCAGCCCUGGUGCCGAGGGGCCUGAGAUCCCCCGUGCCAUGGAGGUGGAGGUGGAGGAGCUGCUGCCGCUGCCAGAGAAUGUCCUGGCGCCCUGUGAAGAUUUCCUGCUUUUCGGUGUGCUCUUCGAGGCCACCAUGAUCGACCCCGCCGUGGCCUCCCAGCCCAUCAGCUUCGAGAUCUCCAUUGGUCGCGCAGGCCGUCUGGAGGAGCAAUUGGGCCGAGGGUCCAGGGCUGGGGAGGGAACUGAGGGUGCAGCCGUGGAGGCUCAGCCUCUGCUGGGACCCAGGCCAGAGGAGGAGAAAGAGGAGGAAGAACCGGGGACCCCUGCUCAGCGGCCUGAGCCCAUGGACGGCAGCGGGCCAUACUUCUGCUUGCCCCUCCGUCACUGCAAGCCAUGCAUGCAUGUGUGGAGUUGCUGGGAGGACCACACCUGGCGCCUGCAGAGCAGCAACUGCGUGCGCAAAGUGGCCGAGAGGCUGGACCAGGGGCUGCAGGAAGUUGAGAGACUGCAGCGCAGGCCGGGGCCUGGCGCCUGUGCACAGCUCAAGCAGGCACUGGAAGUGCUGGUGGCUGGGAGCAGACAGUUUUGCCGCGGUGCCGAGCGCAGGACGAUGACCCGGCCCAAUGCCCUGGAUCGAUGCCGAGGGAAACUCCUGGUGCACAGCCUGGUAUGGCCUCGGGAAGGGACUCGGGCGCCUAGCUUGGGCCUUCCACUCAUGCUGUCUUUUUGCCCUCCCAGAACCUUUUGGCUAAGCAAGGACUGCGACUUCUACGCGGCCUGAGACGGAACAAUGUGCAAAAGAAGGUGGCACUGGCCAAGAAGCUCCUGGCAAAACUGCGCUUUCUGGCUGAGGAGCCCCAGCCACCCCUCCCUGACGUGCUGGUCUGGAUGCUCAGCGGGCAGCGCCAUGUGGCCUGGGCCCGGAUCCCUGCCCAGGAUGUGCUGUUCUCUGUGGUUGAGGAGGAACGGGGCCGAGACUGUGGGAAGAUCCAGAGUCUAAUGCUCACGGCACCCGGGGCAGCCCCUGGUGAGGUCUGUGCCAAGCUGGAGCUCUUCCUGUGGCUGGGCCUGGGCAAGCAAGCCAAGGCCUGCACCUCUGAGCUGCCCCCGGAUUUGCUGCCCGAGCCCUCAGCCGGGCUGCCCUCCAGCCUACACCGGGACGACUUUAGCUACUUCCAACUCCGGGCUCACUUGUACCAGGCCCGAGGUGUGUUGGCAGCAGAUGACAGUGGCCUCUCGGACCCCUUUGCUCGAGUCCUCAUCUCUACCCAGUGCCAGACCACACGGGUCCUGGAGCAGACGCUGAGCCCUCUGUGGAAUGAACUCCUGGUAUUUGAGCAGCUGAUCGUGGAUGGGAGGAGGGAGCACCUGCAGGAGGAGCCUCCAUUAGUGAUCAUCAAUGUAUUUGACCACAAUAAGUUUGGCCCCCCCGUGUUCCUGGGCAGGGCACUGGCCGCCCCAAGGGUAAAGCUGAUGGAGGACCCAUACCAACGCCCGGAGUUGCAGUUCUUCCCCCUGAGGAAGGGACCCCGGGCAGCCGGAGAGCUCAUUGCCGCCUUUGAACUCAUUGAACUAGACUACAGUGGCCGACUUGAGCCCUCAGUGCCCAGUGAUGUGGAGCCCCAGGAUCUGGCACCCCUGGUUGAGCCCCACUCUGGACGCCUGUCCCUUCCACCCAACGUGUGCCCAGUGCUCAGGGAGUUCCGUGUUGAGGUGCUGUUCUGGGGUCUUAGGGGACUUGGUCGUGUGCAUCUGUUCGAGGUGGAGCAGCCCCAGGUUGUACUGGAGGUGGCUGGGCAACGUGUGGAGUCUGAGGUCCUGGCCAGCUACCGUGAGAGACCCAAUUUCACUGAGCUUGUCAGGCAUCUGACAGUGGACUUGCCGGAGCAGCCUUACUUGCAGCCUCCACUCAGCAUCUUGGUGAUUGAGCGCCGGGCCUUUGGCCGCACAGUCCUUGUGGGUUCCCACAUUGUCCCCCACAUGCUGCGAUUCACAUUUCGGGGUCAUGAGGAUCCUCCUGAGGAGGAAGGAGAGAUGGAGGAGACAGGGGAUAUGAUGCCCAAGGGACCUCAAGGACAGAAGUCCCUGGAUCCCUUCUUGGCUGAAGCGGGUAUAUCCAGACAGCUCCUGAAGCCUCCUCUGAAGAAGCUCCCACUAGGAGGCCUCCUAAAUCAAGGCCCUGGGCUGGAGGAGGACAUCCCAGAUCCAGAAGAGCUCGACUGGUGGUCCAAGUACUAUGCGUCGCUGCAGGAGCUCCAGGGGCAGCACAACUUGGAUGAAGAUGAAAUGGAUGAUCCUGGAGAUUCAGAUGGGGUCAACCUCAUUUCUAUGGUUGGGGAGAUCCAAGACCAGGGUGAGGCUGAAGUCAAAGGCACUGUGUCCCCAAAAAAAGCAGUUGCCACCCUGAAGGUGACUGGGUACUGGGAAGAGGAAAGUCUCCUUUGGAUUCUGGACAUCGGGCUGUUGCUGAAGUCCUUGCCUUUUAGAUCUACAACAGGUCCCUGGAGGAAGAAUUUAACCACUUUGAAGACUGGCUGAAUGUGUUUCCUCUGUCCCGAGGGCAAGGGGGCCAGGAUGGAGGUGGAGAAGAGGAAGGAUCUGGACACCUUGUGGGCAAGUUCAAGGGCUCCUUCCUCAUUUACCCUGAAUCAGAGGCAGUGUCGUUCUCUGAGCCCCAGAUCUCCCGGGGGAUCCCACAGAACCGGCCCAUCAAGCUCCUGGUCAGAGUGUAUAUUGUAAAGGCUACCAACCUGGCUCCUGCAGACCCCAAUGGCAAAGCAGACCCUUACGUGGUGGUGAGCGCUGGCCGGGAGCGGCAGGACACCAAGGAACGCUACAUCCCCAAGCAGCUCAACCCCAUCUUUGGAGAGAUCCUGGAGCUAAGCAUCUCUCUCCCAGCUGAGACGGAGCUGACGGUCGCCGUAUUUGAUCAUGACCUCGUGGGUUCUGACGACCUCAUCGGGGAGACCCACAUUGAUCUGGAAAACCGAUUCUAUAGCCACCACAGAGCAAACUGUGGGCUGGCCUCCCAGUAUGAAGUAGAUGGUUACAAUGCCUGGCGUGAUGCAUUCCGGCCUUCGCAGAUCCUGGCGGGGCUGUGCCAACGCUGUGGCCUCCCUGCCCCUGAAUACCGAGCCGGUGCUGUCAAGGUGGGCAGCAAAGUCUUCCUGACACCACCGGAGACCCUGCCCCCAGGCAGCAGCAGCCCCACAGUGGCGAGCGGGGACCCUGAAGAGGCCCAGGCAUUGCUUGUGCUGCGGCGCUGGCAGGAAAUGCCGGGUUUUGGGAUCCAGCUGGUACCCGAGCAUGUAGAAACCAGGCCUCUCUACCAUCCCCACAGCCCAGGGCUGCUGCAGGGAUCUCUUCACAUGUGGAUUGACAUCUUUCCUCAAGAUGUGCCUGCUCCACCCCCAGUUGACAUCAAGCCUCGGCAGCCAAUCAGCUAUGAGCUCAGAGUUGUCAUCUGGAACACGGAGGAUGUGGUUCUGGAUGAUGAGAAUCCACUCACCGGAGAGAUGUCGAGUGACAUCUAUGUGAAGAGCUGGGUGAAGGGGUUGGAGCAUGACAAGCAGGAGACAGACGUUCACUUCAACUCCCUGACUGGGGAGGGGAACUUCAACUGGCGCUUUGUGUUCCGCUUUGACUACCUGCCCACGGAGCGGGAGGUGAGCGUCCGGCGCAGGUCUGGACCCUUUGCCCUGGAGGAGGCUGAGUUCCGGCAGCCUGCAGUGCUGGUCCUGCAGGUCUGGGACUAUGACCGCAUCUCUGCCAAUGACUUCCUUGGAUCCCUGGAGUUGCAGCUACCAGACAUGGUGCGUGGGGCCCGGGGCCCCGAGCUCUGCUCUGUGCGGCUGGCCCGCGAUGGGGCCGGGUCGAGGUGCAAUCUGUUUCGCUGCCGCCGCCUGAGGGGCUGGUGGCCGGUAGUGAAGCUGAAGGAGGCAGAGGACGUGGAGCGGGAGGCGCAGGAGGCUCAGGCUGGCAAGAAGAAGCGAAAGCAGAGGAGGAGGAAGGGCCGGCCAGAAGACCUGGAGUUCACAGACACGGGUGGCAAUGUGUACAUCCUCACGGGCAAGGUGGAGGCAGAGUUUGAGCUGCUGACUGUGGAGGAGGCCGAGAAACGGCCAGUGGGGAAGGGGCGGAAGCAGCCAGAGCCUCUGGAGAAACCCAGCCGCCCGAAAACUUCCUUCAACUGGUUUGUGAACCCGCUGAAGACCUUUGUCUUCUUCAUCUGGCGCCGGUACUGGCGCAUCCUGGUGCUGCUGCUGCUACUGGUGCUGCUCACCGUCUUCCUCCUCCUGGUCUUCUACACCAUCCCUGGCCAGAUCAGCCAGGUCAUCUUCCGUCCCCUCCACAAGUGA
This 6145-nucleotide small RNA is filed under the name Pan troglodytes (chimpanzee). Its description in RNAcentral is "transcribed unitary pseudogene". The record is from RNAcentral. Lineage: Eukaryota; Metazoa; Chordata; Mammalia; Primates; Hominidae.